Arvicanthis niloticus (Nile rat) is the source of this 126-nucleotide non-coding RNA. Lineage: Eukaryota; Metazoa; Chordata; Mammalia; Rodentia; Muridae. The record is from RefSeq and is a predicted model, not a curated record.
AACAUUGGUGUGUGGUUUUGUUCAAUGAAAGCAAAGGCAAGAAAAAUAGUUGAGAAAAAAAAUCAUCUUUUGUAACUCAGAACUCACUGACCAAUGUGAGUUUUGAUACCCACAAGGAAAAAAUGU